CCUACGGGGGGCUGCAGUGGGGAAUUUUGCGCAAUGGGCGAAAGCCUGACGCAGCAACGCCGCGUGGGUGAUGAAGGUCUUCGGAUCGUAAAACCCUGUCGUUGGGGACGAAGGUGGGGGCGUUCAUAGCGUUUCUGCUUGACGGUACCCGGAGAGGAAGCCCCGGCUAACUCUGUGCCAGCAGCCGCGGUAAUACAGAGGGGGCAAGCGUUAUGCGGAAUUAUUGGGCGUGGAGGUCUAGUAGGCGGGUGUAAUCCCCGAGCUCAACGUGGGAACUGUAUCUGAGACUGGAAGGCUAGAGUACUGGAGAGGGGGGUGGAAUUCCUCGUGUAGCGGUGAAAUGCGUAGAGAUGAGGAGGAACACCAGUGGCGAAGGCGGCCACCUGGACAGUAACUGACGCUGAGGCGCGAAAGUGUGGGUAGCAAACAGGAUUAGAUACCCGUGUAGUC
Molecule: ribosomal RNA, 450 nt
Filed under: uncultured bacterium
Lineage: Bacteria
Description: partial 16S ribosomal RNA
Rfam family: Bacterial small subunit ribosomal RNA
Source: RNAcentral